This 408-nucleotide ribosomal RNA is filed under the name uncultured bacterium. RNAcentral's name for it is "partial 16S ribosomal RNA". It matches the Rfam family "Bacterial small subunit ribosomal RNA", at positions 28 to 526 of the family's 1533-position model. The record is from RNAcentral.
GACGAACGCUGGCGGCGUGCUUAACACAUGCAAGUCGAACGGAGUGGCGAACGGGUGAGUAACACGUGGGUGACCUGCCCUGCACUUCGGGAUAAGCCUGGGAAACUGGGUCUAAUACCGGGUAGUGUGGGAUGGGCCCGCGGCCUUUCAGCUUGUUGGUGGGGUAAUGGCCUACCAAGGCGGCGGAGGGGAGCCGGCCUGGGAGGGGGGACGGCCACAAUGGGACUGAGGAACGGCCCAGACUCCUACGGGGGGCAGCAGUGGGGAAUAUUGCACAAUGGGCGGAAGCGUGAGGUAGCGACGUUGCGUGGGGGAUGACGGCCUUCGGGUUGUAAACUCCUUUCACCAUCGACGCGGUAGCUGGAGAAGAGGCACCGGCUAACUACGUGCCAGCCGCCGCGGUAAUAC